AGCAGUGGGGAAUUUUGGACAAUGGGCGCAAGCCUGAUCCAGCAAUGCCGCGUGAGUGAAGAAGGCCUUCGGGUUGUAAAGCUCUUUUGUCAGGGAAGAAACGGUGAGGGCUAAUAUCUCUUGCUAAUGACGGUACCUGAAGAAUAAGCACCGGCUAACUACGUGCCAGCAGCCGCGGUAAUACGUAGGGUGCAAGCGUUAAUCGGAAUUACUGGGCGUAAAGCGUGCGCAGGCGGUUUUAUAAGUUUGUCGUGAAAGCCCCGGGCUCAACCUGGGAAUUGCGAUGAAGACUGCAAGGCUUGAAUCUGGCAGAGGGGGGUAGAAUUCCACGUGUAGCAGUGAAAUGCGUAGAGAUGUGGAGGAACACCGAUGGCGAAGGCAGCCCCCUGGGUCAAGAUUGACGCUCAUG
RNAcentral lists this ribosomal RNA (409 nucleotides) under uncultured bacterium. RNAcentral's name for it is "bacterial SSU rRNA". It matches the Rfam family "Bacterial small subunit ribosomal RNA", at positions 350 to 751 of the family's 1533-position model. The record is from RNAcentral.